Molecule: long non-coding RNA, 443 nt
Organism: Mugil cephalus (flathead mullet)
Lineage: Eukaryota; Metazoa; Chordata; Actinopteri; Mugiliformes; Mugilidae
Exons: 3
Source: RefSeq, a predicted model, not a curated record
UAUUAUGGGAAUUGCGUUACCAGGUGACCCGGGGUGUUACGUUCAAGGAAGAUUUGUUGUUUGAAGUUAGGUAAAUGGCCGAUCCUCUGAACGCCACACUCACCUGUGGCCUUUGAAUGCACCAUGAUUCAAGCCAAGGCCGUGAAUACAGCGUUCCCUCUGAAUAAAGCAAUACCUCGGAUAAAAUCACCAAAUGUUGCCGGACAGCCAAGAACUGUCUUCAGCUGUGGGUGAAGAGGAAGUAAAGAUAAGAGGUCAACACAGCGUUGUGGCACUGGCACGAUGGAUGUAGCUUUAAAGCAUGUUGGCACAGCUGCUUGAAGGAGAAGUCUAUGAGGCCGCAUCUCGGAUCGUCCCGCCUCCGCCCGCGACCUCGCUGCGGGGACCGCUGGACACUCCGGGCGACGGCUCCGCGGGCCUCCACGCGAGAUGUGGACAACGAC